AGAGUUUGAUCAUGGCUCAGAGCGAACGCUGGCGGCAGGCCUAACACAUGCAAGUCGAGCGGCCGUAGCAAUACGGCAGCGGCAGACGGGAGAGUAACACGUGGGAACGCGCCCUUCGGUCCGGGAUAACCCAGGGAAACUUGGGCUAAUACCGGAUACGCCCUUACGGGGAAAGAUUUAUUGCCGAAGGAACGGCCCGCGUCCGAUUAGCUAGUUGGUGAGGUAACGGCUCACCAAGGCGACGAUCGGUAGCUGGUCUGAGAGGAUGACCAGCCUCACUGGGACUGAGACACGGCCCAGACUCCUACGGGAGGCAGCAGUGGGGAAUAUUGGACAAUGGGCGCAAGCCUGAUCCAGCCAUGCCGCGUGGGUGAUGAAGGCCCUAGGGUUGUAAAGCCCUUUCAGCGGGGAAGAUAAUGACGGUACCCGCAGAAGAAGCCCGGCUAACUUCGUGCCAGCAGCCGCGGUA
RNAcentral lists this ribosomal RNA (469 nucleotides) under uncultured Pseudomonadota bacterium. Its description in RNAcentral is "bacterial SSU rRNA". It matches the Rfam family "Bacterial small subunit ribosomal RNA", at positions 8 to 522 of the family's 1533-position model. Lineage: Bacteria; Pseudomonadati; Pseudomonadota. The record is from RNAcentral.